This 672-nucleotide ribosomal RNA is filed under the name Trichoderma asperellum. RNAcentral's name for it is "partial large subunit ribosomal RNA". It matches the Rfam family "Eukaryotic large subunit ribosomal RNA", at positions 96 to 796 of the family's 3401-position model. Lineage: Eukaryota; Fungi; Ascomycota; Sordariomycetes; Hypocreales; Hypocreaceae. The record is from RNAcentral.
AAGCGGCAACAGCUCAAAUUUGAAAUCUGGCCCCUCCGGGUCCGAGUUGUAAUUUGUAGAGGAUGCUUUUGGUGAGGUGCCGCCCGAGUUCCCUGGAACGGGACGCCACAGAGGGUGAGAGCCCCGUCUGGCUGGCCACCGAGCCUCUGUAAAGCUCCUUCGACGAGUCGAGUAGUUUGGGAAUGCUGCUCAAAAUGGGAGGUAUAUGUCUUCUAAAGCUAAAUAUUGGCCAGAGACCGAUAGCGCACAAGUAGAGUGAUCGAAAGAUGAAAAGCACCUUGAAAAGAGGGUUAAACAGUACGUGAAAUUGUUGAAAGGGAAGCGCUUGUGACCAGACUUGGGCGCGGCGGAUCAUCCGGGGUUCUCUCCGGUGCACUUCGCCGCGUUCAGGCCAGCAUCAGUUCGUCGCGGGGGAAAAAGGCUUCGGGAACGUGGCUCCUCCGGGAGUGUUAUAGCCCGUUGCAUAAUACCCUGCGGUGGACUGAGGACCGCGCAUCUGCAAGGAUGCUGGCGUAAUGGUCACCAGCGACCCGUCUUGAAACACGGACCAAGGAGUCGUCUUCGUAUGCGAGUGUUCGGGUGUCAAACCCCUACGCGUAAUGAAAAGUGAACGCAGGUGAGAGCUUCGGCGCAUCAUCGACCGAUCCUGAUGUUCUCGGAUGGAUUUGAGUA